UGAGAAAAUACUGUUGCUUUACCCCCUC
This 28-nucleotide non-coding RNA is filed under the name Homo sapiens (human). Lineage: Eukaryota; Metazoa; Chordata; Mammalia; Primates; Hominidae. The record is from RNAcentral.